GGGAGGAUGUAGAGAAAAUUAGAACACUCAGGCACUGCUGGUAGGAAUGUAAAAUGGUACACCAACUUUGAAGAACAGCCCUAUAGUUCCUCACAUGGUUAAACAGCUACCACAUAGUCUAACAAUUCCAUUCACAUGUGUAUAUAUAAGAGAAAUGAAAAUGUGUGUCCAGUCACAAAAUUAUAAACGAAUGUCCACAGCAGUAGUAGUAUGUAUAAUAGGCAAAAAACAGAAACCACUCAGAUGUCCCUGUAGGGGUGGAAAGGUGUGGUACCUUUCCUCACCCAUCAUAAGAAUCACAACCAACACGCCUAUAGCAGGAGUUGGGUUAACAAGACAACAGCAUAAUAGCUUAUUUAAUCAAAGUUUUACGUGACAUAGGAGCCUUCAGAAAUAAAGAUCCAAAAACCAGGGAAAAUUUUGUAUGUUUAUGCUUAGGUUUAAUGAAGAAUGGAUGGCCAUGCAGAAAUAUGAUUAGAUUAAAAGGGUAUGAUCUAAUAGUAAUAGAUGGAGAGGGGGAACCCAGCAAGACCUGUCUGUUCAAAUCCUUCUUGGCCUCUCUGUGUAGCAUUCCUUCCUUGAGGAUUGGGCAAGAUCCUUCUGGGAUGAGAGUCUUCAAGGAAGAAGGGAAGAGGGAGAGUGAUCAUCCUAGGUUUUAUGGCUUGCUUUGGGGAGAGGAGUUCUAGGUUCUAUGACUCACUUUGGGGAAGAGAAAUUCUGGCUCCUAUGACUCACUUCCAGGGGUAAAGAUUUGGCACAUCUCUCAACUGGUGAAUGGAUAAAUGAAAUGUGAUAUACCCAUAUGAUGAGAUGCUAUUCAGCAAUAAAAAGAAAGAAAUACUGAUACAUUCUAUAAUCCAUAAAACCUUGAAAAGCCUUAUGCUAUGUGAAAGAAACCAGUCACAAAAGACCACAUAUUAUAUGAUUCCUUUUACAUGAAAGGUACAGAACAGGCAAAUCCAUAGAGACAGAAAAUGGGGGAUGAGGAGUUAAGGGGGACAGCUAAGGGGUGUGAGGUUUCUUUGGGAGGUAGAAAAAUAGAAAUGUCUGGAGCUUGGGAAUCUGGGAAGUGUUAUGGAAAGAUGAACCCCUGGGAGAGAGGAAGAAUAAAUAUAAGAGUGAAGUAGAAGGCUAGGGGCAGGGGCACAUCUUUGAAAACAAGCCUUACCUAUUUCACUGUUUUGCACAUAGAGAUAGUCCAAGAUCUGACAAAAGAGGAGUGUUAAUAAUCAUGUCUAAAAAACCUUCCUAGCAUUAAUAUUACCACUAACAAUAACCCUUUCUCCAUUGAAUAGUGUACCAGAUUGUAUUUUCCAGAAAUCGCAAUAUCUAUAAGGUUCUUCUAUCCCAUACGCUCUUUUUGCAAGAUGCCUGGCACUUCUUCACCAAGAGAUGGGAGUCUGUCUCCUCUCUUCAAAUCUUGGUGUGACUACCCUGACCAAUGGAAUAUGGUGGAAGCAAUGCUAUGUGACCUCUCAUAGGAUAUAGCUCCCACUUGGCUCUUUCAGGACACUUGCCUUUGGAACCCAGCUACCAUGUUUUAGGGAAGCCCAGGCCACAUGGAGAAGCCACAUGUGGGUGUUCUAAUCCACAGUCCCAGUUAGACCUUCAGUCAACAGUCAGCAUCAGUUGCCAGACAUGUGAGUGAAGAGCCUUCACAUGCUUCCAGUUCUGAAGCUUUGAGUUUUCCAGCCAAAACCAUUAACAGUGAGAAGCAGAGACAAGAAAUCCCUGCUGGGCCUGUCUGAAUUCUUGACCCACAAAAACUGCAGAGGAUAAUAAAUGAUUGUCUAGUUUUGAGUCACCACAUAUAUGGUAAUUUUGUUACACAGCAAUAGAUAACUAAUACAAAUGGUGUUGACAGUUUCAAAAGUUUUUCACAGUAAUCUGUUAGUUCAGGCAAGCACAAUGAGGAAAGUUCUUUCCAUUUUACAGAUAAAGAAAUUGAAAGGCAGAGACAUGUCUCUGGUGUUUUUUAUUGCAUGUGUACAUAUGCUAAAAGUUUUAAACUGCAUUAUUUACUUUUCUCAUUAUUACUGUUAACUUGAGAUUACUUAUAUUUUAUUAGAAAGGGAAACUUUGAUUCCCUUAAAAGGACUCAUAAAAAUAAAAAAUAAGGCAAGAGUCAAGGAAGUCAGACAAAUUGUUACUUCUUCUUCCUGAAUUUGGUACCACUUAUGCUCUAGUUUCCAACACUCAGUAACCUUAACGGUGAAUCAGUUUUAGAACUAUAUGACCACCU
This 2242-nucleotide long non-coding RNA is filed under the name Homo sapiens (human). RNAcentral describes it as "HSALNT0120433". The record is from RNAcentral. Lineage: Eukaryota; Metazoa; Chordata; Mammalia; Primates; Hominidae.